UUGUUAAAUUUUAACAAUCUGAUAAGUAUAAAUAAGUAAAAUCCCUUUGCAUUUUAGUUUUCAUUUUGGAUACUUAAUAGGUUGAGCUUGUGUUGUUUAUAAUUUUUUAUGCUGAGCUUAUCCAUAGCAGGGCUUGUGUUUUCUGUAGGGGUCCCAUAGGCCCUGGUCUUUAAAAGUAGUUUUGUCUUUGCUCCUGCUGGGAGGGAGCCCCAAGGAUUUCAUAGGCCUUAGGCUAUGCAAAUCUAAUCAUAUUAUUUUCUUUUUAAAAUUUCUAAAGAAGGAUUGCAGGAAAGAGUUGAGACUUCUUAGAUACACAAGACUGCAUGAUUUGACAUCUAUAUACCUCUUGAACAUCAACUUCAGCCUCAAGGUAUUACCUUGGUUUUAUACUUUUCUUUCAUUUCAGAUUUAGGGAACUUCUACUGAUCUGGCCCAUGGAUUAAUGGGGGCAUGGAACUAUUAUACUUUAUUCACUGGAGAGAGGUAGUAUAUUUUAUUCAGUAUUUCUACCUGUUUUUCUGGGGGAAAUAGUUCUAUAUUAGUGAAGUCUGCCAUGUUGCUAGAUUUGGAAUUUCAGCAUGGGACUUGCCUAUCCCUCUACCCCUAUUUUUUUUUCCCAAUGUGUACUUACUUUUCCCCUUGUCCCCUAAAAUCCAUUCAUGCUGAAAUGCUUGCAAGUCUCCUAAACUCAAACUACUUUGCUUCUACAUAUUUAGCUAGUCAUCUUCAAGGAUUGGAUCUGCCUCUACCCUCUCUGGAAAAACUCUGAGCCCAGAGGUUGUGUUGGAUGGCUUCUCUGGCCUUCCAACUGCCUUCUUGUUCUGCAACUGACCAUAUGUCUAUCUCAUGUAUAGACAGAGAACUUGAGGGCAGUGACAAUGUCUUAUUUUUUCCUUAGGAUGGAGAACGGAGGCCAGCACAGAGUAGAAACUCCAUAAAUAAUUUUUGAUUGAAUAGAUGACUAGAGAGUCCCUCUUUUAGCUUAUUUAUGUGGAAGUUGUGUGUGUGUGUGGGGGGGGGUGAUUAUAUGUGCCAGUAUGUAUAUGUAUUUGCAAAUACAUUAUUGUAUAUUUCUGGAUAUGCGUGCAAGUAUGUGUGUGUGCAUCCAAAUGUAUGUAUGUCCAUAUUUACACUGCUUCUUCUGAGUGGGAGACACCAACUGUUAGGUGGCAUUUGUGGAGAUGCUGUGAUGUUUGUGGUGACAGUGGAGAAGGGAAAUAAAGGAUAAUUGCCACUUUGGUGACCAAACUGUGGAAUAUGUGGUCCAAGCAGCUCUCAGUCAGAAACUCUCCCUAUGGAAGGUGCCUGUUAUGGGGGUGGAAUCCAUUCUACCUAAGCAAACACUGCAUUGCUUUUGCAUUUAGGGUUUUGGGGGGGGUGGAAUGAGUUUUGACAUCAAUGGACAGCCUCGGUGGACAAUGGUUCCUGUGGACCUGAUCUCUUUCAUGCCGAUUAAAACUUAUGUGCCAAGUUUUCACUUUUCAUUUUCUUUUUAAUCCUUUGAGGCCAGCUCCUGCCACACACAGGGCCCCUUUCCAUUCCAUUAAGCCUCUGCCUUCUAUUUCUGUGUGUCUUUUCCUCUCAUUACUCUGGGACGUGUGGGCAAACAGAAACUUUCUACCUGCGCUGCCACUCAACAUCUUUCUUUCUGCUUGAUUCACGGGAUGCUGUCUGGGGGUCCACCUUUAUUGGCACAGGAGUUCCAUGACCAUGAUAUCACCUCUGCACAGUUGGAGGACCCCAGCAUGAAUCAAGACAUCAGAGGAAAUGAAUGGUGAUCCCCCAAGGAGACAAGCUCAUAAAGUCCUCAUCAGUGACAGCAAAGGAAAUUAAGGAAAACCGAGAUCUACAAUCUCAUGAGAGAUACAGACACCUGUGCCGCUAUUAUAAGGGAGUGAAUGAAGGUGGGCAGAUGUUUGAGUUGGUGUGAAGAAGGAUCUGGAGACGUGUUGUACGCUUGGAGGAUGGAACUAGAGAGAGAGCAGCAGGGGGCGAGGGAGAAGCAGACUCCCCACUGAGCAGGGAGCCUGAUGCUGGACUUCAUUCUAGGAUCUCCGAUCAUGACCUGAGCGGAAGGCAGACCCUUAACCAGCUGAACCACCCAGGCGACCCUAAAAUGAACAAUUUUAAAGAUUUAUUUAUUUAUUUAUUUGAGAGAGAGAAUGAGAGAGAGAGCACAUGAGAGGGAGGAGGGUCAGAGGGAGAAGCAGACUCCCUGCUGAGCAGGGAGCCCGAUGCGGGACUUGAUUCCGGGACUCCAGGAUCAUGACCUGAGCCGAAGGCAGUCGCUCAACCAACUGAGCCACCCAGGCGACCCCAUAGCUCUAUUUCUUUUUUUUUUUUUUUAAGAUUUUAUUUAUUUAUUUGAGAGAGAGAGAAUGAGAGAGAGCACAUGAGAGGGGGGAGGGUCAGAGGGAGAAGCAGACUCCCUGCUGAGGAGGGAGCCUGAUGCGGGACUCGAUCCCGGGACUCCAGGAUCAUGACCUGAGCCGAAGGCAGUCGCUCAACCAACUGAGCCACCCAGGCGACCCCAUAGCUCUCUUUCUUUUUUUUUUUUUAAAGAUUUUAUUUAUUUAUUUGAGAGAGAAUGAGAGACAGAGAGCAUGAGAGGGAGGAGGGUCAGAGGGAGAAGCAGACUCCCUGCUGAGCAAGGAGCCCGAUGCGGGACUCGAUCCCGGGACUCCAGGAUCAUGACCUGAGGCGAAGGCAGUCGCUUAACCAACUGAGCCACCCAGGCGCCCCCAAAAUGAACAGUUUUAGACACUAACUUAAAAAUGUGCUUUAGAGUACCUAAUUUUUCCAUAUUCUUUCGGAGGGCGGGUGAACCGAACAAGCUUGACCACCACUGUAAUAUAAGGUUCUUGAUGAGUUGCUCCCUAAAGGGUGCAGAGCAACGGGUAGGAAGCUGGAGGGACAGGGAACCAGAAGAGAUUUUUGUUUCUGGUUUGGCUUUGCUUUGCUUUUGUUUCUAAAGGAGAAAAUCUGUGCGCCAAGGAGAAUGAUUUAGGCGAGAGGGGCACGUGACAGGGUGGGCGGGAAGAGCGUGGGCGCGGAGUGCCAGCGGAGGCGAGGCCUAGGAAGGCGGCCAGGGCCACCUGCAGACCCCCAGGCGCGAGGGCGGCCAGAAGGCCGGCUCAGGCCGAGCGCCCACGUGGAUGCGGGGGGCGGGCCUCGGCGGCACGUGGCCCACGUGGCCGGACUGCGACUACUUCCGCAGUAAAAUGGCGGCAAGACCCGGUGCUGUGAGGCGGGGGGAGGAGGUGUUGGGCUGGGAAGAGAGAAGAUGUCAACGGUCCUUUGGAUUAGUGCGGAGGAAUCCCCUCGGGAAACGAGGUAGACUUGGAGUUGGUGACAGGAAUUUAUUGAGACCAGUCAGCAAGGUGCUGUGCUCCGGGGCCGCGUCCCGAGGCCGGCGCAGGUGAGGGCGGACGGGAGGUGGGUUUUAACCAGCGUGGGGGUUGGCACGGGCACAGGGUGUUGGUGGGGGGCGGGGAACGGGGUUGAGGCCCCGCAAAGGUGAUGGAGGCUGGCCUUGGAGCUGCGGAAGGAGUGAAAGGGCGGCAUAGAGCUGCGUGAUGGGAGCGGUGGCUCUCUGAAUCUGAGGGUGCAGGAGGGAUUUUUAUAUUCUAUACAUAAUUUUUUUCUCCCAAGAGCACUUUGUGACUCUCCAAUUCUCCUUUUCC
Molecule: long non-coding RNA, 3683 nt
Organism: Mirounga angustirostris (Northern elephant seal)
Lineage: Eukaryota; Metazoa; Chordata; Mammalia; Carnivora; Phocidae
Exons: 3
Source: RefSeq, a predicted model, not a curated record